This 500-nucleotide ribosomal RNA is filed under the name uncultured bacterium. RNAcentral's name for it is "partial 16S ribosomal RNA". It matches the Rfam family "Bacterial small subunit ribosomal RNA", at positions 30 to 523 of the family's 1533-position model. The record is from RNAcentral.
AUUGAACGCUGGCGGAAUGCUUUACACAUGCAAGUCGAACGGCAGCACGGACUUCGGUCUGGUGGCGAGUGGCGAACGGGUGAGUAAUGUAUCGGAACGUGCCCAGUCGUGGGGGAUAACGUAGUGAAAAUUACGCUAAUACCGCAUACGAUCUAUGGAUGAAAGCGGGGGAUCGCAAGACCUCGCGCGAUUGGAGCGGCCGAUAUCAGAUUAGGUAGUUGGUGGGGUAAAGGCCCACCAAGCCAACGAUCUGUAGCUGGUCUGAGAGGACGACAACCCACACUGGAACUGAGACACGGUCCAGGCUCCUACGGGAGGCAGAAGUGGGGAAUUUUGGACAAUGGGCGAAAGCCUGAUCCAGCCAUUCCGCGUGCAGGAUGAAGGCCCUCGGGUUGUAAACUGCUUUUGUACAGAACGAAAAGGUUUCUACUAAUACUAGGAGCUCAUGACGGUACUGUAAGAAUAAGCACCGGCUAACUACGUGCCAGCAGCCGCCGUAA